UAGCUUUCAUAUAAUUAUAGGAAUGUUAUUAGGUCCUUAAAAUAAUUAUUUGGGCUAUUAAAAUGAGUUAUAUCGAGUAUUAUUAACACUUAAUAAUACUCGGACUAAUUAAUUUGUCGCGGUUAUCGUUAAACUAAACCCUAGUGGUAUUGGUACUAGGUUUUAUCGAAGGAAUAUCGUUUUGAGAGUAUCGAAGCGCUGUCCGAGUGCUGAGUCACCACCUAGUCAGGUGAGUGCAUAGUUACUUUCAGCUUACACAUAGAUAUGAAGUAUUUUAUAUAAACUACGUGCUAUGUGUGCACAUUAUCUGAAUACUUGCUGUCUAUGCUGGUUGAACGUUUUAUACAUGUUUUAAAGGACUUAAACUGUAUACGUAUUUUAUAUAUACGAAAAUGUUGGGUAUGAGAUGGGUAGAUGAAUGAUGAGAGAUAGAAGAUGACGUGAGUAUACAUUGGCAGCUAUAGACUUAGUGCCUAUGGGACAAACACCGGUAGCUAUGGACUUAGUACCUUUUAGACGUUGGUAGCUAUGGAUUUAGUACCUGUUGGGAAUUGGUAGCUAUGGACUUAGUACCUAUUAGUUAGACGCUGGUAGCUAAGGAUUUAGUACCUGUAGGAAUUGGUAGCUAUGGACUUAGUACCUGUUGAACAUUGGUAGCUAUGGACUUAGUACCUAUUAGAUAAAGACUGGUAGCUAUGGAUUUAGUACCCGAUGAAUAGACUAUAGCAGCUAUGGAAUUAGUGCUUUAUGAACGAACAUUGGCAGCUAUGGAUUUAGUGCCAGUCCCAUAACCCUGGAAGUAAGGGACUUCGGAAUAAACGAAUGCAGGAUAGAUGACUCUUAGGUUAAAUCCUUAAAGAGUAAAGAAGAUAAUGGGGAUGGGUAAUUGGGUUGAUUGUUUGAUUGAACAUAAUAAUUAUAUUAUUGUGGGUUGAAAACCCUAUGUACUCACCAGGUUUCCCAACCUGACCCACUCAGUUUAUGUAUAUCACAGGUGACGAAGUGAAGUGACAUUACACUGAGAGAUUUAAAAGAGAUGUAGAUCACUAGUGUAAAUCAUUGUAAGUCUGUUUAUGCUUAUGUUUCGGUAUUAACGAUGACAUCCCAAACAUUUUAAAAUGAAAUAAAUACGUUUCUUCGAAAAUGUUUUAAUAACGUAUUUACCAUGUUUUUCUGGGAACAAAUUCCGCAACCUUUUUAUAAAAUGAAGUACUCUGAUUUUUAUAAAGCAUAAACAAAAUCGGUCUUUUCUGGCCGUGAUUUUGGGGAUGUCACAGUUGGUAUCAGAGCAUUAGUUUAAGCGAACUAGGAAUAUGGAUUUAUUUCUAGACUUAAACUUAGAAUGCUAAGCGAUGAUUGUGAGGUGUGAGCACUAGCUUAUUUUAGGAAUUGUGCCUAAAAUGCUUUUAUGUGCUAAAUGCUUUGUGCAUGAUAUGUUGUUAAUUGUUCGGAUCUAUGGUCUGUUGCCGACCGGAUCUGGAAACCUUAUGUGUUUAGGAUUCUAAACGUACGACUACGGUAUUAGAACUAGCAUGUAAAUGUUUCGGAGUGAUAAGGAUGAUUUAAACGUCAAGUAAAGGUCUAAAUUCACCUUAUUCGGUGUAUAGAUCGAGAUGGUAAGGACCCGUAGCGGAAACGUAAACGCAAAUGGGAACAGGAACCAACCCCCAGUGGUUCAGCAAAUACCUGUUGUAGAAGAAGUUGCGCCUGAGCCAGUCACCAUGGCUGGAGUUCAAGCCAUGAUUCGGGCUAUGUUGGCUGAACAAAGGGAAGAAAUGAGACGGAUGUUGAAUAGGGACGAACCUACUAUGCCCAUUGAGCAACCCGAACUGAUUCCCGAGCAAUCUGAGGAAGGGAACUACAGCCGCCAAGUGAGUCAAGUUGGGACUCAAGGUGAGCAAAGGGAUGGCCCAGAAGGGAGAAACAACAAGGAUGGGCGGAUGUACAAGAACUUCUUGGGUGCGAAACCACCAAGCCUCUCAGGAAGCCCAAAGCCGGUUGAGAUUAUGGAUUGGAUCUCUGAGAUGGAGAUGGUGUUUGAGAGCUGCAGCUGUAAUGAGAAACAGAAGACUGUCUUUGCAGUAAGACAGCUGAAAACUGGAGUCUUGAGCUGGUGGAAGCUAUUGGCAGAUACGAUGCCACGAGGAGAAGCCUUAAGGAUGUCGUGGGAAGAGUUUUUGGAACAGUUGAAAAUGCAGUACUGCUCGGAGGUAGAUCUGAUAGACCUAAACAACGAGUUUCAGAACCUGAAGAAAGGGAAGAUGAGUGUUGAUGAGUAUGCCACCGCAUUUACCGAGAGGAUGAAGCUAUUUCCCUACUUGGUGCCUACUGAACUCUCCAAGAUUGAUAGGUUUGCUAACGGACUGCCCACUGACUUUGGUCCAAUGGUCAAAAUGGCAACUACCUUGAAAGCAGCUGUUAGGGCAGCUAAGAACGUAGAGGCCCAGAUAAGAGAAAAGGGUCUAGAAAAAGAUAAGGCAGGAGAGAAGCGAAAGUUUGAGGGAUCUUCGAGGUCGAACAAGGAAAGCAAAUUCUCAAAACUCGGAGGAGCAGAUGGAGGUGAAACAAGAUGGUGUGAUAAAUGCAAGAAGAAGCAUGGUGGGAAGUGCAACGAAGAAGUGACUUGUUACAAGUGUGGGAGGACGGGUCACUAUUCCAAAGACUGCACACAUAAUGACAAAGUAUGCUACGGAUGUGGAGGCAAGGGGCACAUGUCCAGAGACUGCCCAAGGAAAAAUAAAGCAGCAAGACCAGAAACGCCACCAAGGCCAAGGGCAUUUCACAUGAUCCUCGACGAAGCAGAGAACCAUGCGAGGAAUCAAGAAUGAGGACUUCUUACCCGAAGAUCGGAUUAUGCAGUAGCCAUAGUUUCAUAUGAUGUAGCCUAUUAGAGGCAUAGUCUAGGGUGAACUUGAACACCUAUGUAAUCGUUUCAAGAAUUAAUAUAAAACCUUCGUUUUGUUAUCUGAUGUGUUGAAUGAUUGUGUGAUUUGCUGCAUGGUGACUUGGGAAACUGCGAGACAAUACUUGGGACGAGUAUGAGUAGGUGUGAAUGGUAGUAGAGGCCUAUACUACCGGAAGCACAGGACUCACACUUGGAUCAGGGAAAGUCACAAGGUUACCAAGAAGCUAGUAAUUUAUUUCGUUUUAUUCAAGUGUAUUGUUACCAUCAUUUUGGUAAUGACUAAGAAGAUUGCUGAUAUUCUGACCCUAAUGGUCAUAUCCCAUUGAGUCCGACUACGAUGAAUAGGUUACGUGGUUUAGAGAACCAAGUUUGAUGUAGCGUCCGACUUAAACCAAACGGUUGAAAUCAAAGUGAUCAAUAAAAGUAUCGCACUCACUGUUAAUGAAGUUGAUAGCUAGAAAUGCCAAAUGUUAAAGUGUGAUUAUAUCACAUUAAAACAUGAAGGAAGGCAUAUCUUGUUUUAGAAUUUAACUCUAAGAGACCUAAGUCUAAGUGUUGCAACAUACGAUGAUAGGUCAUUAGAAUAUGAAACAUCGAUCUAUAGUAGUAAUAAAAGAACUUAUCUCAAGUCUGUAUCCAGCAAGGAUCGAGAUUGUGACUUGAAGGUCAUAAUUUGGAGUCUAACCUGAGGUAGAGAGCAGGUGCACGAUCGAGUACUCUUACAAUCAAUGAGUUUAAGAGAUAGAAUUGAAGGAAUGUAGAAGUUAUAAUUAUUACCUAGGAUGAAGAGAUGACGUAUGGAGUCAUUAUACGACCCUGUUUCGUUGAUGAUUCCGGGACGUAAUCAUCCUAAGGGGGAGAUAAUUGUAACGCCCGCAAAUCCGGGCUAGUCAAAUUAGAGGCAAUAGGGGUCGAAAACGACUUUUCGACAAAAGAUUAUUUAGAAUAAAUAAUCUUAACCAAGUUGUAUAGUAUGUUACAAGGUUUUCGUACAUAUAAAGAACGCCGAAAACCGAGUUAUAACGAAGAAGUUAUGACCUGUUGAAGUUUCGCGGCAGAACCGGCACGACACCGGGAAGCGUAAAUAGUGAAUUUACGAUAGAGAGAGAUUUAUCCUUAGCGAUCUAAACAAAAGUCGUAGAAUAUGUUAAACUAAGAACAUCGAUAAAAAGAACGCCCAAAUCUGACUUCGUAUGAAGAAGUUAUGAUUUUUCGAAGUUUCGGACUAGCAGUGUACAGCCCGAAAUUCGAAUAUUAGAUCGAGCGGUUUUUAGCCGACACGACCUAAACGAGAAUCGAAGAUCUCGUUGAGAGUAGCGUAAUGAGAAAAAGAUGGGCGAAAACGGAUGUCGGAUGAAGAAGUUAUGAGGAUUUAACGGACCAAUCGUGUCCCGGCCCGUUAAUAAUAUAAAAUUUAAAAUCGAGCCAAAAUUAGUCGACGAAGUCUAAACGAAAGUUGUAGAGUACGUUCCCACCUUCGCGUGGAUAUAAAGAACGUCAAAAACGGAGUUCGUAUGAGAAAGUUACGAAUUUUUAAAGUUUGUACUCGAUUUUGCGAGACCUGAUACGAAGUUGCUGACGUGGCGCUUUCCCAGCCGUCCGAUGAUAAUCGCUGAAGCCGCCUCGAAUGAGUGACGCGUCGCCCCUCGCUACGCCCAGCGUCCGAGCUCGGAUACGCACCGCGUACGCCUUGCACUCCUCGGUCCAACUUGAGCCACGUCUCCCCACCGAAGCUUCGACAUCUGGCAGUCUUAUCCGACGAACGCGCAGCGUACAACCUUCGGUACGCCCAUCGUAGACCGAAGGCUCAUACUAUAAAAGGAAGCGAAGGCUGCCGACUUUCUUGCACAUUUUCCACUCUCUCUCUAGAUUACUUUCUCUCUCUAAGGUCCCAAACCACUCCUAAGCCCUAGGUAAAACCCCUAGCACCCUAGGGAAGCCCCGAGGCUCCCGGAGUCCCGAGAAAAAGGAGUUUUUCGGUUUCGAAACGCUGCUCCAAUUAGGUCCCGGUUUUCGAUAAAAUUCGCUGUAAGUGUGCUACGCUUACACAAUUUUUAAUAUAGCUUUCAUAUAAUUAUAAGAAUGUUAUUAGGUCCUUAAAAUAAUUAUUUGGGCUAUUAAAAUGAGUUAUAUCGAGUAUUAUUAACACUUAAUAAUACUCGGACUAAUUAAUUUGUCGCGGUUAUCGUUAAACUAAACCCUAGUGGUAUUGGUACUAGGUUUUAUCGAAGGAAUAUCGUUUUGAGAGUAUCGAAGCGCUGUCCGAGU
Molecule: long non-coding RNA, 5173 nt
Filed under: Lactuca sativa (garden lettuce)
Lineage: Eukaryota; Viridiplantae; Streptophyta; Magnoliopsida; Asterales; Asteraceae
Description: long non-coding RNA (LSAT_LNC002410)
Source: RNAcentral